Molecule: ribosomal RNA, 353 nt
Filed under: uncultured bacterium
Lineage: Bacteria
Description: bacterial SSU rRNA
Rfam family: Bacterial small subunit ribosomal RNA
Source: RNAcentral
GGGCCCGCACAAGCGGUGGAGUAUGUGGUUUAAUUCGAUGCAACGCGAAGAACCUUACCAGGGUUUGACAUCCUGCGAAUCUCUUGGAAACGAGAGAGUGCCUUCGGGAACGCAGUGACAGGUGGUGCAUGGCUGUCGUCAGCUCGUGUCGUGAGAUGUUGGGUUAAGUCCCGCAACGAGCGCAACCCACGUCGUUAGUUGCCAGCAUUUAGUUGGGCACUCUAGCGAGACCGCCGGUGAUAAACCGGAGGAAGGUGUGGAUGACGUCAAGUCAUCAUGCCCCUUACAUCCUGGGCUACACACGUACUACAAUGCUACGGACAAAGAGUUGCGAGCUUGUAAAAGUCAGCUAA